RNAcentral lists this ribosomal RNA (550 nucleotides) under uncultured Pseudoalteromonas sp. RNAcentral describes it as "bacterial SSU rRNA". It matches the Rfam family "Bacterial small subunit ribosomal RNA", at positions 1 to 523 of the family's 1533-position model. Lineage: Bacteria; Pseudomonadati; Pseudomonadota; Gammaproteobacteria; Alteromonadales; Pseudoalteromonadaceae. The record is from RNAcentral.
GCGGAAUGGCCUCGCGUAUGCCUGGAGAUUAGAGUUUGAUCCUGGCUCAGAUUGAACGCUGGCGGCAGGCCUAACACAUGCAAGUCGAGCGGUAACAGAAAGUAGCUUGCUACUUUGCUGACGAGCGGCGGACGGGUGAGUAAUGCUUGGGAACAUGCCUUGAGGUGGGGGACAACAGUUGGAAACGACUGCUAAUACCGCAUAAUGUCUACAGACCAAAGGGGGCUUCAGCUCUCGCCUUUAGAUUGAUCCAAGUGUGAUUAGCUAGUUGGUGAGGUAAUGGCUCACCAAGGCGACGAUCCCUAGCUGGUUUGAGAGGAUGAUCAGCCACACUGGGACUGACACACGGCCCAGACUCCUACGGGAGGCAGCAGUGGGGAAUAUUGCACAAUGGGCGCAAGCCUGAUGCAGCCAUGCCGCGUGUGUGAAGAAGGCCUUCGGGUUGUAAAGCACUUUCAGUCAGGAGGAAAGGGAUGUAGUUAAUACCUGCAUCCUGUGACGUUACUGACAGAAGAAGCACCGGCUAACUCCGUGCCAGCCGCCGCGGUAA